GGGGGUUUAGCUCAGCGGCAUAAGCACCUGCCUUGCAAGCAGGUGGUCAGAGUCCAAGCCCCA
This 63-nucleotide transfer RNA is filed under the name Cavia porcellus (domestic guinea pig). It matches the Rfam family "tRNA". From Rfam's summary of the family: Transfer RNA (tRNA) molecules are approximately 80 nucleotides in length. Their secondary structure includes four short double-helical elements and three loops (D, anti-codon, and T loops). Further hydrogen bonds mediate the characteristic L-shaped molecular structure. tRNAs have two regions of fundamental functional importance: the anti-codon, which is responsible for specific mRNA codon recognition, and the 3' end, to which the tRNAs corresponding amino acid is attached (by aminoacyl-tRNA synthetases). tRNAs cope with the degeneracy of the genetic code in two manners: having more than one tRNA (with a specific anti-codon) for a particular amino acid; and 'wobble' base-pairing, i.e. permitting non-standard base-pairing at the 3rd anti-codon position. Lineage: Eukaryota; Metazoa; Chordata; Mammalia; Rodentia; Caviidae. The record is from Rfam by way of RNAcentral.